Molecule: long non-coding RNA, 238 nt
Filed under: Trifolium pratense (red clover)
Lineage: Eukaryota; Viridiplantae; Streptophyta; Magnoliopsida; Fabales; Fabaceae
Description: long non-coding RNA (TPRA_LNC004881)
Source: RNAcentral
CUCAUUGAAGUGUGUAUCUACCAUUUCGGAGUUGGUUUCGACACUUUGUUCAUUUGCCCCCAGCUGAUGAGGCAUUGCUUCACAUGUGAUUAGCUUUUCUUUGAUUUCAACUAAUUCCUCUAAUUUCUCUUUUGUUAACUUGUAACCAGAAGCAAUUUGAGCUAAAUCAUUUGCUUCUUGGUUCUCGAUUCGAGGCACAUGCUGAAUAUCACAUGUAUCGAAACGUUUUAGUAAAGAG